AACCAAAUUAAUACUCUUUAAGUUAUUUUUCUUAAUCAAAUUAAACCCUCUUUUGGUAGAGUUGGAAAGCUAAGUUUUCAAGGAAAGUCAAUAAUGAAGCCAAUUGCAGCCUUUGUUCUUAUUUUCUUGUUUGCCUUGACCUUAGAGGGGAUGUGUCCAAGAGUGGCAGAAGGAUUCUUGUGGAGAAAGAAAUGCAAUGUUGCAAGUGUCAAGUACAAAGGGCCAUGCGCAAAUGACUCCGACUGUUAACUCCGUUUGCAAGUCGGAGGGAAUGAAAUCAGGAGAUUGCCAUGGCCUACGCAGAAGAUGCCUUUGCUGUCCUCAUUAGGGUUCCGUCAUUGAUUAUGACGACUAAGUACUCUCUCUGUCCGAAAUUAAUAGUCAUGAUCGUUCAAACAAACUACUAAUGUAACAAGUAAAACCACAACGAAUGACGAAGAUAGGGAGUACGACUAUCUAUCUAUCUAGCUCCAUGUACUUGCAUUUGUAACUUUUAUGUUUGUUUCACAAUCAAAACAGUAUCUUUUCUGUAUAAUUGUCCUAAAUCAAUUCAAUCUAAAUAAAGCUCCAAAAUUCAAGUCAAUCAA
This is a long non-coding RNA of Chenopodium quinoa (quinoa), 587 nucleotides long. RefSeq lists it as uncharacterized. NCBI's taxonomy places the organism in Eukaryota, Viridiplantae, Streptophyta, Magnoliopsida, Caryophyllales, Amaranthaceae. The transcript is spliced from 2 exons. The record is from RefSeq and is a predicted model, not a curated record.